UACGUAGGGUGCAAGCGUUAAUCGGAAUUACUGGGCGUAAAGCGUGCGUAGGCGGUUGCGCAAGACAGGUGUGAAAUCCCAGGGCUUAACCUUGGAAUUGCACUUGUGACUGUGCGGCUGGAGUGCGGCAGAGGGGGAUGGAAUUCCGCGUGUAGCAGUGAAAUGCGUAGAUAUGCGGAGGAACACCAGUGGCGAAGGCGGCUCACUGGCCCGGUACUGACGCUGAGGUGCGAAAGCGUGGGGAGCAAACAGG
RNAcentral lists this ribosomal RNA (253 nucleotides) under uncultured bacterium. RNAcentral describes it as "partial 16S ribosomal RNA". It matches the Rfam family "Bacterial small subunit ribosomal RNA", at positions 524 to 776 of the family's 1533-position model. The record is from RNAcentral.